GAUACCCUGGUAGUCCAUGCCGUAAACGUUGGGCGCUAGAUGUAGGGACCUUUCCACGGUUUCUGUGUCGUAGCUAACGCAUUAAGCGCCCCGCCUGGGGAGUACGGCCGCAAGGCUAAAACUCAAAGGAAUUGACGGGGGCCCGCACAAGCGGCGGAGCAUGCGGAUUAAUUCGAUGCAACGCGAAGAACCUUACCAAGGCUUGACAUACACCGGAAACGGCCAGAGAUGGUCGCCCCCUUGUGGUCGGUGUACAGGUGGUGCAUGGUUGUCGUCAGCUCGUGUCGUGAGAUGUUGGGUUAAGUCCCGCAACGAGCGCAACCCUCGUUCUAUGUUGCCAGCGGGUUAUGCCGGGGACUCAUAGGAGACUGCCGGGGUCAACUCGGAGGAAGGUGGGGAUGACGUCAAAUCAUCAUGCCCCUUAUGUCUUGGGCUUCACGCAUGCUACAAUGGCCGGUACAAAGGGCUGCGAUACCGUAAGGUGGAGCGAAUCCCAAAAAGCCGGUCUCAGUUCGGAUUGAGGUCUGCAACUCGACCUCAUGAAGUCGGAGUCGCUAGUAAUCGCAGAUCAGCAACGCUGCGGUGAAUACGUUCCCGGGCCUUGUACACACCGCCCGUCACUUCAUGAAAGUCGGUAACACCCGAAGCCGGUGGC
RNAcentral lists this ribosomal RNA (655 nucleotides) under Curtobacterium sp. Iso29. Its description in RNAcentral is "bacterial SSU rRNA". It matches the Rfam family "Bacterial small subunit ribosomal RNA", at positions 781 to 1434 of the family's 1533-position model. Lineage: Bacteria; Bacillati; Actinomycetota; Actinomycetes; Micrococcales; Microbacteriaceae. The record is from RNAcentral.